Molecule: long non-coding RNA, 2457 nt
Organism: Tupaia belangeri chinensis (Chinese tree shrew)
Lineage: Eukaryota; Metazoa; Chordata; Mammalia; Scandentia; Tupaiidae
Exons: 5
Source: RefSeq, a predicted model, not a curated record
CCGGGCAGGGUCCAAACGUCUCACGUAGGCGGCGGCGCCGAGGUCUUCGGGGUCACCGGGAAGAGAAGGGCUCGCUCUGGGAGGGUGGACGCAGAGAGGCCUCCCGAGGGCGUAGGACGCCCCGCCGCGCCCCAGCGGCUCCGAGGACUCACCUGCAUCGCCGAGAACACUUAGAGUGCCCUGGAGUGGCGGGGGGUGUUGGCCCGGGGCCCCAGCAACUCGGGGCUCGACCUCCUAGUUAGUGAAGUAGGGAUGGGGCUGCCCGUCAAGAUUGGAGUAGCAGGACCGCAUCGACCUCGGUAAGGAAAAGAAAGCACACCGCUCCGUCCUCUGGAGAGCGGAGCAGCCCUCACGUUGUCUCCCUUAAUGCCCGGUAGUAGUCUGACUUUACAGGCGAAGGUAGGACUUACCCAAAGCCACAGGGUUCACAUGGCAGAGGCUGCCCAGCUGUACUGCUCCACAUUCCGUGUGCUUUGCCCUGCAUCACGUUCCCCCCCGCCAAAAUCACCCUGGUGUAACUGAUAGGAGACGCCACCCUCCCCUUUCUGCACCCAUAAGUAAGAUGCUGCAGGGUUACAGAGGGCAGUGGAAGAUGUUCCUCUUCCCCUUGAAGAGUAAGGAAUAAGACAGAUAAAACAGCUUUAAUAAAAGACAAAGCAUGGUAGGUGUCACUUAAAAGUACAAAGGGCGCUGCAGAGGAUCAAAGAACCGCUCAUACCCGUGUUGGGGACCCGGGAAUGCAAAGCAUUGGGAUUGACCUUGAAGGAGACAGGAUUUUUACAGCUAGAGCAUGAGAACAUAGAUGAUGGCAAAUCAAUGAAAGUUUUGUCCCAGAAAGAGAGAAGACUCCGGGGUGUCUUGAGAAGUGGCAGAGACAAAGGAGAAUGGGGCCUCAGAUGUUCAAUGGAUGAAUCUAUUCAGUCUUUUGAGUUUUCAUGGCUUAAAAAUAUUGGGGAAGAAAUGGAAGAUUUUUGUUCGUACUGUUGAUCUCUCUGGGAAGGGAUGCAGAAAUCAAAGGUGGAAAAACCGACAGACUCACAAUAGGCCAUGUAAAAGGUAAUGGUGAGUCUGACCUAAAGGGAAGGCAGGAGGAAAUGAAGAGCGUGGUGAAGAGAUGAUGUGGAGGCAGAAUCUAUAGAAUUUACAAAUGACUGAGUAAUUGGGGGUAGGAAGGGGGAAAUUGGAGAUUUGAGUCUCUAGAUAAUUACAAGAGAAAGAAAAGAGAUAAGUAUAAGAGAAAGAAGGAGCUGCUGCUUGAGAGAAGAUGAUCAGUCUGGGUUUGAACACUUACGGAUUUUAAAAAUUGUCAGGACAGCCAGAUAGACGUAGAUACUGAGAAGUUAGAAAGGUUUUGGGGGCCAGGCAGUGGCACAGUAGUAAAACAUGAUGCUCUGCUAGGCUGACCCACAUGGAAAGGUUGGUUUACCUCUAGAGACCUCUGUGAGUAUGCCAGGGACGCCUGUGUGACCAUCCGCUGAGGCUAGGGGUGGUUUGUGCUGUCAAGCUCCUGUCGGGGGUGCUCUCUGACUCUUACUCAGGAAGUAAUAAAUAAACAUUAAAAAAAAAAAGUAAUAAAGCUUUUGAGAUAUGGCAGAGGACUGAACUAGAACAUAGAUUAGGAAAUAGCCUAACAGUAAUGUCACUGUGAAUGAAAAGAGGAAAACAAAGGACAGAACUUUGAAAAACAUCUUUAGAAUCUUGCUACUCAAAAAGUGGUCAAUGGAACAGCAGCACUGGCAUGAUCCAGACAGAGGUUUAUUAGGAAGGCAGCAUCUCAGACUCCUUCCAGGCCUGCUGAGUCAGCAUCUUCCAUUUACUAAGUACCCCAAGAGAGUUCCACCACAUCAAAGUUUGAGAAGCUCUGAUCUAGAUGACAGAAGCCAAUAAAAAAAAAAAAGGAGGAGGAAGUGGAAAAUGAGUCAGGAUAAUGAAGAAUCAUCAAAACAAGCUCUGAGUAUGCAGAUGACUACAAGCCCAUGGGGUUGGCAGAGCCACAAGGAAGAAGAGGCCUGGAUGGAGGAGAGGUGCCCCCUGAGCUGGAACGCCCAGGUGGUGGCCUUCGCUCAGCACUUGGCUGCUCAGGUCCUGGGUGCUUGGAUCUACAUAGACAAAAUACGCCUUCCCGUUGACAGAUACUUCCAAACUAAGAAGAGUGAGCUCCCCUCUGAUGCCUAUGAAUGUGAGCCACCAAGGAGCUGAUUUUUAGCAACGGGACCAAGGAAUUCCACUCCUAAUGGGCUGGCAACUACGAGAAGGAAGUCUUAAGUCUUUAAGGCAGGGUGACAGUUUGGCUCUUGUGUGAGCCUGUCAGGGUCAACAGCAACAGAGAAAAAGACAAAAGGAAAAAGCAGUACCAUAGAAGAAAAAACAGAUUCAGCAGUUUUUAGGUCACUUGGUUUCCUAGAUACUUCGAUGGAGUCAGCAGUCAUUGAGCUAACCCCGACUCCAAGACUGGAG